RNAcentral lists this ribosomal RNA (514 nucleotides) under uncultured bacterium. RNAcentral's name for it is "partial 16S ribosomal RNA". It matches the Rfam family "Bacterial small subunit ribosomal RNA", at positions 28 to 523 of the family's 1533-position model. The record is from RNAcentral.
GAUGAACGCUGGCGGCGUGCCUAAUACAUGCAAGUCGAGCGAACAGAUGAGAAGCUUGCUUCUCUGAUGUUAGCGGCGGACGGGUGAGUAACACGUGGGUAACCUACCUAUAAGACUGGGAUAACUCCGGGAAACCGGGGCUAAUACCGGAUAAUAUUUUGAACCGCAUGGUUCAAUAGUGAAAGACGGUUUCGGCUGUCACUUAUAGAUGGACCCGCGCCGUAUUAGCUAGUUGGUAAGGUAACGGCUUACCAAGGCGACGAUACGUAGCCGACCUGAGAGGGUGAUCGGCCACACUGGAACUGAGACACGGUCCAGACUCCUACGGGAGGCAGCAGUAGGGAAUCUUCCGCAAUGGGCGAAAGCCUGACGGAGCAACGCCGCGUGAGUGAUGAAGGUCUUCGGAUCGUAAAACUCUGUUGUUAGGGAAGAACAAAUUUGUUAGCAACUGAACAAGUCUUGACGGUACCUAACCAGAAAGCCACGGCUAGCUACGUGCCAGCCGCCGCGGUAA